CAGGAGCGGGGAUCAGAGGCUGGUGGGAAGAACAUGAGGGACAUUUGCUUGGCUGGUUUGAUUUUUACCCCCGCUUUAUUCCAGAAAUAAUUGAAGGCAAGACAAUAAGGUACUAGCUCAUUGCCAAUUAAUUGCUAACAUUAGUUAAGCAAGGUGCUGUUCUAGAAGCACAUUACUUGUAUUAGCACUUUUCAUUGUAACAUCAACCCGAAGAAGUAAGUACUAAAAGUAUCAUUUUACAGAUGAAGAAACUGCGGUCAAGAGAGGUUAAAUAACAGAUCUGGGAGCUGGUCCUACAAGAAGUAAUGGUGCAGACGGCUGACAUAAGGGUCCAGGAGUGACAGGAACCUAGGUGUGAAUCCUGCUUCACCACCCUACCUACCAGCUAUGACAUUGGCAGAAACCCAGUGAAGGCUCAGGCCUAAACUUUCCCUCACUCCUGGCCAACACUGGUGCUCUCCUCUGUGGCGCUGCCUUGGGGCAUGCAGUGACCCACUCUCUGGGAUCUGCUGCCAAUUUCAGAUCUGAAAACCUUACUGAAAAGAUACCCUAAUGCCCAAGGCCCUGUUUAAAGCAAGGACUGAAUCAGGCAUUGAAUGAUGGGACACAGUAAACUUUAAUGGUCUUCAUCUAUGUUUCCCCCAUUGUGGAGCAGGGCAGGGUAAAAUGCUUGAAUGCUGGGCCCAUCUCCUUAGCAUUUUAGUUCUGCAGUGAAGGGGGCUGUGAGCUCAGGUGAUACCGUGUUGCAAUCUUGCCAUGCCAUCAGAGUGAACAGAGGUUGGGCUUGGGAGUCACAGAGACAUGACAUCCAACCCCACUGGCCACUUACCAGUUCUGUGACCUUACGCAUCUCUGGGCCUCAGUUUCCUCAUCUGUAGAAUGGGGAUGCUAACACCUAUCUCUUGGGAUUGCUGGGAGAACCAAAUGCUAUAAUG
This is a long non-coding RNA of Hipposideros armiger (great roundleaf bat), 935 nucleotides long. RefSeq lists it as uncharacterized. NCBI's taxonomy places the organism in Eukaryota, Metazoa, Chordata, Mammalia, Chiroptera, Hipposideridae. The record is from RefSeq and is a predicted model, not a curated record. The transcript is spliced from 4 exons.